Molecule: ribosomal RNA, 253 nt
Filed under: uncultured bacterium
Lineage: Bacteria
Description: partial 16S ribosomal RNA
Rfam family: Bacterial small subunit ribosomal RNA
Source: RNAcentral
GACGUAGGAGGCGAGCGUUAUCCGGAUUUACUGGGUGUAAAGCGCGUGCAGGCGGUUGGCUAAGUUGGGUGUGAAAGCUCCUGGCUCAACUGGGAGAGGUCGCUCAAGACUGGCCGACUGGAGAGCAGUAGAGGAAGGUGGAAUUCCAGGUGUAGUGGUGAAAUGCGUAGAUAUCUGGAGGAACACCAGUGGCGAAAGCGGCCUUCUGGACUGCAUCUGACGCUCAGACGCGAAAGCUAGGGGAGCAAACGGG